AGCAGCCGCGGUAAUUCCAGCUCCAAUAGCGUAUAUUAAAGUUGUUGCGGUUAAAAAGCUCGUAGUUGAAUUUCGGGAUCAGUAUGUCGGUCGUGCUUCGGUACGUACUGUCAUUACUGGUUUCUCCCUUCUGACGAACCAUGAUGUCAUUAAUUUGGUGUUAUGGGAAGUUAGGACUGUUACUUUGAAAAAAU
This 194-nucleotide ribosomal RNA is filed under the name uncultured Glomus. Its description in RNAcentral is "partial 18S ribosomal RNA". It matches the Rfam family "Eukaryotic small subunit ribosomal RNA", at positions 569 to 766 of the family's 1831-position model. Lineage: Eukaryota; Fungi; Glomeromycota; Glomeromycetes; Glomerales; Glomeraceae. The record is from RNAcentral.